AUGAUGAUGAUCAUAACACUGAAGACGACACAUGAUGACAGCAGGAAUUACAUCCUCUGGCCUCACUGCAGGAAGCUGCCGAGCUGUCUUCCUGGGCAUCUGAGAACGUGUCUGCUUGUGUGGAAGAAGAUUCAGACCAUUUUUGGAGCUGAUGAUCCAAUUGUCAGGUGUGUGCCUCACUGCUUUGUCAUUUCCUGUUGCAGUACAAUACUCAAAAUUCCAUCAAAUGUGUGUGUGUGUGUGUGUGUGUUCACUUUUUCUUUUCUUAUGUUGUCAGUGGAAAUGAUUAGGAUGGGCUCGGUGGUGAGGGACAUACCUUCACUCCUUCCUGCAGCAUCUUCUGUUCCUCAGAGCUCCUGGAGAUGCUGAAAAAAAAAAUAAUUUUGUUGAUGCCUUGCUCUGUUUAUGGCUUUGUUGACAGUUUUUAUUAGCGCAUAUGACACAUUUUUGAAUAGAAGGCCCGUAGCAUUUAAAACCUAUUAAGUGUACAGUAAUUUAUAGAUGUUUAUUGAGACAUGAGUGUCCGUUUACGGAGAUGUAACUGCUUGUACCCUGGAUUUUGCUUUACUUCUCAUGCACAGGGAUGUACAUGGAUUUACCAGUGAGUGAGUAAACAUUUACGUCCGUGUCUGGAAGUUUAUCGUGUUAGUGAGCGGACUGGAAAACUGCCGCACACAAAACAGUCCGUUUCUGACAGUGUCCAGAAGUCAGAAAUGCCAGCGCACAUAGACAGAAACUGCCGGAAACGUUCCAUUUGUCACUAUUCCUUCCACUUUCCCACGGCUUACAGCUACGGCAGCCGAAGCAAGCAUGAAGCUGCUUCUGCUUGCAAUACAGCCCUGCACAUCUCAGUAUUUCCAUCCUGUUACUUCUGAUCCCCUUUUUAACUUUCAGCGGCCUCCAGCUCCUGUAGCAGACAUUAGCCUGGGGCUGCCUUUGCUAGCAGUGCAGGCUACACAGUCUCUUCAGGACAUCACCAACCCCACCCCCUUCAGGCCUACAGGAGCUGAAGCAAAUGUGAGACUGCCUCCCAUUGUAACACAAGCCACAUCUCUUCUUCUGCCUCAUGCUACUAAUAGCCAUUUUUCUGCCACUUCUUACCCCCUUUUCCUUUUCAGUGGCCCCCAGCUCCCGUAGCAGAUGCUAGCAUGAGCACGCCUCCGCUAGUGGCACAGACCCAUCCACAACCCUUUCCUUACCACCCUACCCAUGGCCUGCAGCCCCGAUGCCCGCCAUUUCCCCUCUUUUUUUCACUCCCAGAGCCGUCCCAAGUGUGAGCACGCUUCCACAAGCAGUUCCUGCAGCUACCUUUCCUCAUCCCCCCUCGCAUGCUUUCUCUUCCUUUUCUUUAUCUGCCAUUCCUCCGAAUGCUCUCACCUUGGAACCACCUCCUGUAGCCAGCAGCAUCAGGACAAAGAUUUUCAAGUUCA
This is a long non-coding RNA of Cyprinus carpio carpio, 1430 nucleotides long. The record is from Ensembl. Lineage: Eukaryota; Metazoa; Chordata; Actinopteri; Cypriniformes; Cyprinidae.